This 1708-nucleotide ribosomal RNA is filed under the name Myxobolus sp. RNAcentral describes it as "SSU rRNA". It matches the Rfam family "Eukaryotic small subunit ribosomal RNA", at positions 18 to 1472 of the family's 1831-position model. Lineage: Eukaryota; Metazoa; Cnidaria; Myxozoa; Bivalvulida; Myxobolidae. The record is from RNAcentral.
GCAUGCGCAUACGCUCUUUUUAAAGAUUAAGCCAUGCAGGUGCUAAGUUCAUACAUUUAAAAUGUGAGACUGCGGACGGCUCAGUAUAUCAGUUAUAAUCUGCUCGAUUGUCAAGGUUAUUGGAUAACCGUGGGAAAUCUAGAGCUAAUACAUGCACCGCUCGGCGUGGUAACCCCGCGUCGAUUGCAUUUAUUAGAGCGAUACCAACAGUGUGUUUCACACUUGGCGAGUCUAGAUAACUGUGCAGAUCGUAUGGCCUUGAGCUGACGACAUUUCGAUUGAAUUUCUGCCCUAUCAACUUUGUUGGCAGUGUAGUGGACUGCCAAGGUUAUUACGGGUAACGGGGAAUCAGGGUUCGAUUCCGGAGAGGGAGCCUGAGAAACGGCUACCACAUCCAAGGAAGGCAGCAGGCGCGCAAAUUACCCAAUCCAGACAAUGGGAGGUGGUGACGAAAAGUACCGAAUGGCAGCUUAUUGUUGCUAGUUUGGAAUGAAGACAAUUUUAGAAAUUGAUUUGAGUAACGACUGGAGGGCAAGUCUGGUGCCAGCAGCCGCGGUAAUUCCAGCUCCAGUAGCGUAUCUCAAAGUUGCUGCGCUUAAAACGCUCGUAGUUGGAUCAUGUAUCGUGUCGCGGUGUACUCGGAUAUGUGUAUUAAACCUCCGACUGGGUGCGUAUCUACGUAUCUCCCGGUUGAGGCGCACGUUGUCUUUGUAAUUAGCCGCGGCAUGAUAAUUGCAUGUGGGGAUGGUCGUUAGCCUUUAGUGAGCUGAUGAUUGUGUCUCACAGGGUGUGCCUUGAGUAAAUCAGAGUGCUUAAAGCAGGCGAAAGCUUGAAUGUUGAUAGCAUGGAACGAACAAUCGUGUAUGGUGUGCGCUGGUAACGGCCGGCGUGGUUCUGCCGCGUCGACUGCAGUGCACGACACCGACCGCCAAUUACGGAUGUUGGUUCCGUAUUGGGGUACUGAUUAAAAGGAGCGGUUGGGGGCAUUGGUAUUUGGCAGCGAGAGGUGAAAUUCUUGGACCUGCCAAGGACUAACAAAUGCGAAGGCAUCUGUCCAGACCGUAUCCAUUAAUCAAGAACGAAAGAGAGAGGUUCGAAGACGAUCAGAUACCGUCCUAGUUCUCUCUGUAAACUAUGCCGACCCGAGAUCAGUUUUGAUUAACAUGUACAUUCAAGGUUGGUCUCCCUGGGAAACCUCAAGUUUUUCGGUUGCGGGGGGAGUAUGGUCGCAAGGCUGAAACUUAAAGGAAUUGACGGAAGGGCACCACCAGGGGUGGAGCCUGCGGCUUAAUUUGACUCAACACGGGAAAACUUACCUGGUCCGGACAUCAGGAGGAUAAACAGACUUCAGAUCUUUUUUGAUUUGGUGAUUGGUGGUGCAUGGCCGUUCUUAGUUCGUGGAGUGAUCUGUCAGGCCAAUCCCGGUAACGAAACGAGACCCCAAUCUCCAUUUGACGAGUCGGAGAAGGCAUUCGUCGACUUCGGGCUGCUCGCAGUCUGUCGUCUUUGAGUGUUGUAGGCAAUGUUGAGGGCCACUGUGGGGCAGUUGAAGUAGCAAUAUGGAGGCUGUUCUGCUGGGGCAUGAGGCAUUCCCUCUGGCUUAGCUGUGCAUGCUUCGCUUUGGAGUGUGUAUAGUAUCAUGGAGAGACAACGGUAACAUAUUUACAAAAUCCGAGUGAAGUGGGGCUAUAACAGGUCUGUGAUGCCU